UUCAUUCGGAUGUCCAGAUGUA
Molecule: microRNA, 22 nt
Filed under: Echinops telfairi (small Madagascar hedgehog)
Lineage: Eukaryota; Metazoa; Chordata; Mammalia; Afrosoricida; Tenrecidae
Description: Ete-Mir-1298_5p (mature (guide))
Source: RNAcentral